This 300-nucleotide unclassified non-coding RNA is filed under the name uncultured fungus. Its description in RNAcentral is "sequence contains 5.8S rRNA gene, ITS2". The stretch from base 1 to 71 matches the Rfam family "5.8S ribosomal RNA", at positions 84 to 154 of the family's 154-position model. The record is from RNAcentral. Lineage: Eukaryota; Fungi.
GUGAGUCAUCGAAUCUUUGAACGCAUAUUGCGCUCUCUGGCUCUCCAGAGAGCAUGCCUGUUUGAGUAUCAGUUUAAUCUCAUAAACCCAUUUGGGUGUAUGGAUCUGAGCAAUCCGUUAGCGUAGAGUCGUUUAUUCGACAAUGCGAUUACAUGCGGUUGCUUGAAAUGUAUGGCAAGCGGUACUGACCACUGCUUAAGAUGGCUAGGCGUAUUAGUUUCUCAUUAUGGGAAUCCACUCUUGCGCCGGUGUAUACGGCCCCUUAAGCCUCGUGCUGGUUGAUCGUUUUGCUCUAUAUAA